This 253-nucleotide ribosomal RNA is filed under the name uncultured Eubacteriales bacterium. Its description in RNAcentral is "uncultured Clostridiales bacterium partial 16S ribosomal RNA". It matches the Rfam family "Bacterial small subunit ribosomal RNA", at positions 524 to 776 of the family's 1533-position model. The record is from RNAcentral. Lineage: Bacteria; Bacillati; Bacillota; Clostridia; Eubacteriales.
UACGUAGGGGGCGAGCGUUAUCCGGAAUUACUGGGUGUAAAGGGAGCGUAGACGGCGAGGUAAGCCUGAAGUGGAAGCCCGCGGCCCAACCCCGGGACUGCUUUGGAAACUGCCAUGCUGGAGUGCUGGAGAGGUAAGCGGAAUUCCUAGUGUAGCGGUGAAAUGCGUAGAUAUUAGGAGGAACACCAGUGGCGAAGGCGGCUUACUGGACAGUAACUGACGUUGAGGCUCGAAAGCGUGGGGAGCAAACAGG